GGCAGUGUAGUGUAGCAGUAAGGAGUAGGGCUUGUAACCGAAAGGUUGCUGGUUCGAUUCCCUGCUGCCA
Megalops atlanticus (tarpon) is the source of this 70-nucleotide non-coding RNA. The record is from the annotation of a GenBank genome assembly. NCBI's taxonomy places the organism in Eukaryota, Metazoa, Chordata, Actinopteri, Elopiformes, Megalopidae.